Molecule: ribosomal RNA, 497 nt
Filed under: uncultured bacterium
Lineage: Bacteria
Description: partial 16S ribosomal RNA
Rfam family: Bacterial small subunit ribosomal RNA
Source: RNAcentral
GAUGAACGCUGGCGGCGUGCCUAAUACAUGCAAGUCGAGCGAACAGACGAGGAGCUUGCUCCUCUGACGUUAGCGGCGGACGGGUGAGUAACACGUGGAUAACCUACCUAUAAGACUGGAAUAAUUUCGGGAAACCGGAGCUAAUACCGGAUAAUAUAUUGAACCGCAUGGUUCAAUAGUGAAAGACGGUUUUGCUGUCACUUAUAGAUGGAUCCGCGCCGCAUUAGCUAGUUGGUAAGGUAACGGCUUACCAAGGCAACGAUGCGUAGCCGACCUGAGAGGGUGAUCGGCCACACUGGAACUGGGACACGGUCCAGACUCCUACGGGAGGCAGCAGUAGGGAAUCUUCCGCAAUGGGCGAAAGCCUGACGGAGCAACGCCGCGUGAGUGAUGAAGGUCUUCGGAUCGUAAAACUCUGUUAUUAGGGAAGAACAAAUGUGUAAGUAACUAUCCACGUCUUGACGGUACCUAAUCAGAAAGCCACGGCUAACUACGUG